ACAAGCGGUGGAGUAUGUGGUUUAAUUCGAUGCAACGCGAAGAACCUUACCUGGUCUUGACAUCCCGGAGACCCUUAGGAACUAGGGGUGCUUCCAUCUGGAAGAAUCUGGAGACAGGUGCUGCAUGGCUGUCGUCAGCUCGUGUCGUGAGAUGUUGGGUUAAGUCCCGCAACGAGCGCAACCCUUGCCUUUAGUUGCCAGCAGUUCGGCUGGGCACUCUAAAGGGACUGCCGGUGUUAAACCGGAGGAAGGUGGGGAUGACGUCAAGUCCUCAUGGCCUUUAUGACCAGGGCUACACACGUACUACAAUGGUCGAUACAAAGGGCAGCGACACUGCGAGGUGAAGCCAAUCCCGUAAAAUCGGUCUCAGUCCGGAUUGGAGUCUGCAACUCGACUCCAUGAAGUUGGAAUCGCUAGUAAUCGUGGAUCAGCAUGCCACGGUGAAUACGUUCCCGGGCCUU
RNAcentral lists this ribosomal RNA (461 nucleotides) under uncultured Desulfobulbus sp. RNAcentral's name for it is "bacterial SSU rRNA". It matches the Rfam family "Bacterial small subunit ribosomal RNA", at positions 925 to 1382 of the family's 1533-position model. Lineage: Bacteria; Pseudomonadati; Thermodesulfobacteriota; Desulfobulbia; Desulfobulbales; Desulfobulbaceae. The record is from RNAcentral.